CAGGGGGAUCUUCUGGGGUCUUCCCUUAGAGCCAGUCCCUGUCGCCAGGUAGAACUCCUGCCCCUAGGGAGGGUGGCAGAAAUCAGAGAAGAAAGGGAUGAGGGCUUGGUCCAGGCUGGGGGCACCAGGAAUUGGGAAGAAGGCGGGAGCCUAUUUUGGAGGGUCUGGGUUGGGAGGAGGGGAGUGGGGAAGGCCUUCCGAACACCUUAAGUAAUCUUCAUAGUUGACUGAAAGAUUAAAAACAGGGGAAGAACUGGUUUUGGCAUAUUGAACUUCUAGGGACUCAGCCAGAAACUUGUUCUGACCAGCUGUUGGUUGGUCCUGGCCUUGGCCCUGGGUCUGGAGGGCUGGCAGUGGCUUUAGGCCUGGGAUCACUGUUCCCUAAACUUCUCUGGGACCCUCCAGUGUGAUGGUCUUGCAGGCUGCUGACAAGGGGAGUUCAGCUGGUGGGUUGAGCAGGGCGGCAUCCAGGUGGAAGGCUUUUAAACCAGGUGGUAGAUGAGUGUCGAGGGGGUCACAAAUGGGAGAAGGUGGUUCUGGAACAGUGGAGAACGGGGGCAGGGAGCUGGGGCAGGAAUACUCUGUCCCCGAGCUGUGCCCAGGAUCCAGGGUGGGAAACACACAAGGAAAAGCUGCCCUUGCGCCUUUGGCCACAGCUUGAGGACCUGAUGCCACCACCCACUUAAGCAGGACACCGGAAGCAGCUGGGUCCCCACCUCCCAGGAGCUGUGCCAUCAACCCUCCCCAACCCCACAUUCACAUCAACCCUCGGACAGGGCCUUGGGGGGAACGGGCCAGGUGGGAGCUGCAAGGAGCGAGGCAGGCUGAGGGAGUUGCUUGUGGUGGGAGAGCCUGCAGGCAGGAGAAACAGAGGGCGUCGUGUCUUUGGCCCCGCACAGUGAGGGCAGAGGGUGGGGGCAGAAGGCGGUGUGACCUACUUUCGAAGCAGUGUGGCUGUGACUGGGGCUCUUCAAGUGGUCAGCCUGCACACACACGUUGGUCUUAAACUCUUCAAAACCAGGCUGUUAACCAGCUGUAUCCUGUUUUCAUUAGCGUGUAAGCCACGGUGAUGGGACCUGCCUAGUUUCCUGGGCCAGAGGGUUCUUUACCACCAGUGCCACCUGGGAAGCAGGUUUGAUCCCUGGAUCAAGAAGAUCUCCUGGAAUAGGAAAUGGAAACACACUUCAGUACUCUUGCCUGCAGAAUCCCAUGGACAGAGGAGCUUGGCGGGCUUCGGUCCAUGGGGUCACAAAGAGUCGGAUACAACUGAGUGACAGCAUAUAUGUGUGAUACGUGGGCCUGGAAAAAAUGAGCGUGGGGCUCUUUGUUCCAACUACUGGGAAUUUAAAGUCAGCAGCACAUCAGACCAACCCUGGCCUUUCUGAGAGCAGAGUCCCUGGGACUUCACAGGUU
Molecule: long non-coding RNA, 1413 nt
Organism: Bos taurus (domestic cattle)
Lineage: Eukaryota; Metazoa; Chordata; Mammalia; Artiodactyla; Bovidae
Source: Ensembl